RNAcentral lists this small nuclear RNA (145 nucleotides) under Chinchilla lanigera (long-tailed chinchilla). Its description in RNAcentral is "U4 spliceosomal RNA (ENSCLAG00000020386.1)". The stretch from base 1 to 72 matches the Rfam family "U4 spliceosomal RNA". The record is from RNAcentral. Lineage: Eukaryota; Metazoa; Chordata; Mammalia; Rodentia; Chinchillidae.
AGCUUUGCACAGUGGCAGUAUCAUAGCCAAUAAAGUUUAUCUGAGGCCCAAUUAUUGCUAAUUGAAACAUGAGAAGACAAAAGAACAAACUCCUUUCCAAAAUUAUCAGUUCCCCCAAAGCCAAUCCUGCGGGAAUUGAGAGGGG